RNAcentral lists this ribosomal RNA (186 nucleotides) under uncultured bacterium. RNAcentral describes it as "partial 16S ribosomal RNA". It matches the Rfam family "Bacterial small subunit ribosomal RNA", at positions 1314 to 1500 of the family's 1533-position model. The record is from RNAcentral.
GCCUUCAUGAAGCCGGAAUUGCUAGUAAUGGCAGGUCAGCAUACUGCCGUGAAUACGUUCCCGGGCCUUGUACACACCGCCCGUCACACCAUGAGAGUUGGGAAUACCCGAAGCCUGUGAGCUAACUAUAUGAGGCAGCAGUCGAAGGUAGAAUCAAUGAUUGGGGUGAAGUCGUAACAAGGUACC